This 34733-nucleotide long non-coding RNA is filed under the name Daucus carota (carrot). RNAcentral's name for it is "long non-coding RNA (DCAR_LNC002563)". The record is from RNAcentral. Lineage: Eukaryota; Viridiplantae; Streptophyta; Magnoliopsida; Apiales; Apiaceae.
GUGCUAAUGAUUAUUGAUAAGUAGUACUUUUAUAGUUCUCUUAGAUAUAUUGCUUGCAAUUAUCUAGUUGAUUAAUUAUUGCAGUUGUGUUCACUCUUCAGAGUCACUGAAACCAAAUUGAGUUGGUAAUCUGUUUGUUGGCCUGACAAGUAACAUAAGUGAGUAUUUAUAAGUCAUUUUAUUCAACAAGUUCAAUAUAUCUAUUGCGAAGUAUUGUGCAAAGUAUGGAAAUUCGUAAAUAAUACUGGCAAAAUUGUGCCAAUAUUAUUUAGAUCACCUAACUUCACUUACGACCGAAAGAAAGCGUUGAUGAUUAUAUUCUUGCCAAGAUUCAUAUAUUUUUGCUGAUUGUAUACUAGCUUUUAGAAUAUGAAUUGAUAUUGAUUUUAAAUUAUAUUUAAUAAUUGGGAUUUCAUUUAAAAUGAUAGUAUAAAUUUGAUUGGGGUGACUGAAAAUUUUCGAUAUUUAUGACUAUUUAAAUUUGGAAGGUUAAUUUUGAAUAUUUAGAAAUUAUUUCAAGAAUUUACUCCGAUAGUCCUAUGUAAAAUGUGUCAGUUCCGUUUUGCAUAUAUUAAGACUUAUGUCAAAUGUAAUUAUAAAAGAGUUUUUGUAUUAUUAUAUUUUGGUAGUUAAUUUUUAUAGCUAACAAAUUUCAAAAAUAUAUAUUAUUUACACAUACAUCUUCAGAACAUAUUAAAAUAACUAGUAAGCUGCUCCAGAGCUCUUCAUCCCAAACAUGACGACGACUAGGAAAGAGGAAAAAAAAAUUCCAGUUCACAUUUCGAACCUGCUGGACAAGUAAGUUUUCUUUUAAUUUUCAAACAUGGAUUAACUUCUUAUUCAUUCAUUUACUUUUGUAAUGUAAUUGGAUCAAAUUUCUUGUAUAUAAUCCCAUGUGAAGCAAACACAUGAAUUUAGCUCUAUACAUUUCAGGCCUGGUUCUCAUUUCUAUGUAUACAACUUGGAUAGUUUUAUGAUUAAUAUGCUCGAUAUAAUACCAUGAUCUGAUAUUGCGUUUGUUGGAUGUUUAAUAAAUGUUAUCCAAACUAAUUGCCUCUAGUUGGUAAUGAUGUAAUUCGAUUUUCAUAGGUUGUUUUUGAUAUCAAUAAUCAAAUUUUUUAGAUAUGUGCAACAGAUCACUGUGAAUAUAUACGUAACAGGUCAGUGUGAAGUGUAAUAAGUAUGAGUGAAGUAUAUUUGAAUUUAUAACUCAAAUCCAAUGAUUUUAAUUGCUAAUUUGAGAAUGGAAUGGUACUGUUUAUGUCAAGUGUUCAUUUUCUUCUUAUUUGUGUACAACUUUAAUAACAUGUCAGAAUGCUAUUUAGUAUUAUUCCACCAGUCCAGGAGUAAUUCCUUUUCCUUAAAAUUUUCGAUAACUUCCCGGGGGCGUAGAAGGCUUAUUAAUAUAUAGAUUUUGUUAAGUAUCAACUCAAUAGAAGUAGUCCGGUGUUAAGUAAAUUCCUUGUCAUCAUGUACAUACGGGGUUGUUCCAAAUUGUGCAACAUAGGACUAAAAAGAACUUUUUCUUUGAGCUAAUUACCUUCACGCACAAGGUUCUCUUAUUUGCCAGAAGAAAAUAAUAAGAGUUCCUUGAUGAAAAAUUCCCAUGUCAUAAUCGAUUGCUCCGCUCGUAAGGUUUGAAACCAAAUGUUCAAUCACACUACAACGUUGCAUAUAUAGGUUAGUAAGUUGAGCCCAAAUAAUGUCGGUAUUAAUUAUGACACCCACAAGCGAAACACUAAUCAGGUUACGGAAACCUUCAUAUUUCGGGGGUGGUGUAGGCAUACAGUGACUUAGAUCAGAUGAGUCAAUUCUGAACAUGAAAACAAAUAAGAUGGUAUUUUGUAGGCACUGGAUGUACGAUUAUGAAGUUUCACUUCCUUAACUCCACUGUUUGAUAUGUUUUUAAUCCAAAUAUCUAUAUCUGAAUAGAGAUGAAGAGGCAGAUCAUUAGGAUUGCAAAGAAUAAACUUCAAUAUGAGACCUCCACGAGAUAAAAGAAUACUGCUUCCGGUUAUUGAAAAUUCAUAUAGUUUAGUUUCUCUACUUCUGAAAGGAAACCUUUGAGAAAGCCGGUUGAAGAAGAGGUCAUCAAAAACUAGGUGUGAGUGCAUUUCCCAUUUACCCCUCCAUGUUUUUAAGAGAAUGCUCAUUCUUGCUACACAGUCAACCGGCAAUCACUUUUGAAUUAGGUCUAGUGAGUCACUGGGAAUGUCACUUUUGAAUUAGACCUUCUUCUAAAGUGAUUGCCGGUUGACUGUGUAGACAUUCUCUCAAAAACAUGGAGGGGUAAAUGAGAAAUGCACCAACACCUAGUUUUUGAUGACCUUUUCUUCAACCGGCUUUCUCAGAGGUUUCCUUCCAGAAGUAGAGAAACUAAACUAUAUGAAUUCUCAAGAACCGUCAGCAGUAGUCUUUUAUUUCGUAGUGGUCUAAUAUUGAAGUUUGUUCUUUGCAUUCCUCAUGAUUUGUUUCUUCAUCUCUAUUUAGAUAUAGAUAUUUGGAUGAAAAACAUAACAAACAAUGGAGUUAGGGAAGUGCAACUUCAUAAUCGUACAUUGAGUGCAUACAAAAUACCAUCUUAUUUGUUUUCCUGUUCAGAGUUGACUCAUUUGAUUCUAAGUUGUUGUAUGUUCACACAACCCCGGAAAUUUGAAGACUUCCGUAAUCUGAUUACUGUUUUGCUUGUGGGUGUCAUAAUUACAACUGACAUAACAUUUGGGGCUCAACUUACUGACCUACAUUUGCAACGUUGCAUUGGGAUUGAACAUUUGGGAUGUCAAUAUAAAUAUUAUAUCAAUCUCACUUUUCUGAGUAUCACCCAUUGUGGGGAAAUUGAUGGGCAAUGGUUUGGAUGCACCCGAAAGGUGAUUGAUUCUGUUCUCAUGUUAUAUGGAGCGGCAAAGAGCAUUGUGGAUUUGGAAGAGCUAGUUGACAAUAUGCCUAGAAUCCGUACUCUUCAUCUUGAUGGCUCUUUUCUUAAGGUAAUUAAAGUGAACCUCGUAAUCUCUCGUAAUGAGACUGGUGAGAUCUAAUUCCCGAAAUUCUGUUUUUGUUAUAGUUUUUUCUACUGGGUAUGAAAGACUUGCGGUCCUCUCUGUAAGUGAUAAUCACAUUCCACCCACUCUGGCUUAGAUUCUGCCUUGUUUUUCUUUCACUUAUUCUCCAGCUAUAUUUGUUCCUACUUUCUCUUUAUUAAUCACGUCAUAACAAUGUCCUCAUAUUAUCUGUAAUAGCAUUGUAUUGUAUUGUAUUUGAGUCCUGAUCUCUUUUUGUCGCAAGAGUUAAUGAGGUUCCCCCGAGCAUCCACAACUGCAGAGAUUAUAUGGAAGUAACUAGCCGUAUUGGUAGGUUCGUUUUGGAAGUUAAUGUUGAACCAUAUGAACUCCUUGGGAUUGUUUAUUUUGUGGUUGCAGAAUCAGAGACCCUUUUUGUUGCUCUUGAACGCGAGAUCUUUUUCUGGGUUUAUUAACUUCAAUUUCAAUGACAGCAAAGUUUUUGGUUUAUUUAUUUAUUUAUUUGUUCUGGGUUUUUCUUAAGUUUUUGGUUUAGAUGGCUUUCAUGUUUAGAGUCCCGUAAACUGUAGGCCACAUGUAGUUCUCUAUUUGACAAUCAUAUUUUUGGCGUUACAAGCAUCAGGUCCUUAAGUAACAGGAAGUUCUUAUCUAAAAGCUGAACAUUUUAUAUAUAGACACAAAAUUACACAAAUAUACGGAGAAAACACUCAUUUGAUCUAAAAUAAAUACAAAUAUUAUAAGAUAAAAAAAAUACUAUAUAUACAAUUUGAUAAUAUAGGUGUAACAUAAAUUAUUAUAUACAAUCUCGAGGUUGCGAAGUAGUUAUAACUAAUAUCACUUCUACAUUUUUCCCGAGUCAAAGAAAUACCGUAAGGGAGGUAUCUACUUUCCGCCUGUAUUUUAAAAUAUUUAAUGUAUAUUUAUAAAUUUUAAUCUUCAACUUUUUUUAGAUAAUAUAUUAAUUUAAUAUUUCAAACAAAUAAUGAGAUUUUAACAUAUUUUGCCUACCGGAUCAAACAGUACUUCAAAUAUCUCUAAUUUAUUAGAAACCUUUUUGAUAAAUUUUUACAAAACAAUUUAAAAACUUAUGUUUUUAAAUAAUAAGAUAAGAUAUAAUCAUUAAAAAAAUAUUAUAUAUUCAUUAUUUAGCAGUAAGUAUCUGAAAAUAAAUUUAGCUAAAUCAUGAGUGACAUAUUUUUUUUCUUUUUUCAACGCAAACUCUAAUAAAAAUCGUUAAAACCCUAGCCCAAAAAAAAAAACAAUUAAAUACGAUUUAAUAAAAACUCCUUAAAACCUUAGCCCAACGCAUCUAUGCUAUACUAUUAAAGCCGAAACAUUAAAAGUUUGGUCAGUCGGUACGCGGGCUUUUAUACGGGCUUUUAUAAUUAGCAGGCUUCAAACAAAAUUAGUGGGCUUCAAACAAAAUAUAAACAAAUCAAAAUAUAAAACAAAUAUACGAUCAAAACAUAAAACAAAUAUAAAACCUAUUUGACUAUACCACAACUAAAAUCAAACCUUAAAAAAUAUUAUAUUAUUACAGCCGAAGCAUUAAAAACUGUGUUGAACCUCGGUUACAAAUGUGUUGAAUGCACGAUUUAUUUACACGUUAUUUUUAAAACUUUGAUGUUUUUUCAAUAAUUUUCAAUAUGGGCCUAUCUAUAUACCGAUUAUUCUUUUUAACUAAAAUAUGUUAUUUUUUUUAUAUUUUCUAAUUAAAAAAACUCUAUUAUUUAAAAUAACAUCGAAAAACAUAGUAAUUAUCUUUUUAACUAUAACACAUUAUCAUUUUUAUAUAUUCUGACUAAAAAACAGAUACAAUUAACACGGGCUACAUAUAUCAUAAUUUUAUUCUCACAAUAAUAAUAGUUUACUAUACUAUUAAAGCCGAAACAUUAAAAAUUUGAUCGGUCGGUAGUUGGGCCAAAUUAUGGGCUUACUUAUAUAAUCAAUUAUCUUUUUAACUAAAUCUAUUAUCUUUUUUUGUAUUUUCUAACUAACAAAACUCAAUUUCCAAAAAUAAUAUUGGACAACAUAGCAACUAGUCAACUACCCUUUUUAACUAAAAAAUGUUAAUUUUUCAGAAUCCUAACUUAAAAAUCGAUUUUCCAAAAAUAACACAUGAAACAUUCAUAUAAAAAAGAUAUUAUAUAUCUAGAGAAGUGUUCUGGUACAAACUUACAAAUGUUUUUUGUUCAACACAUACAUAUAACUCGAGUUCAACAUUUUUUAAGAUAUUUUGUUGAACAUUGAUUUAAAUUGUGUUGAAGUAGUACAUAAACUAAUUUCUCAAUGUAAGAACUAAGUUAAACGUAUUAUAUAACCAAUAUUUAUCUUUCUAGACUCUACCCAAACCCCAGAGAUAUAGUUUAACCAUCUUUAUAAAUAUAUUCAACACAAUGAUAAUUAAUGUUCUACACCCAAUGGUGAACCUCGGUUACAAAUGUGUUGAAUGCACGAUUUAUUUACACGUUAUUUUUAAAAACUGUGAUGUUUUUUCAAUAAUUUUCAAUAUGGAUACUUUCGAUAACUAAAUAUUAACACGUUUGGAGAAUAAAAACAUUCAAAAAAAAAAGUUUGUAACUUAAAAAAUAUUUUAUUUGAUCAUAUUCUAUAUAUCUAUAUUAUUAUACUAUUAAAUCCGAAACAUUGAAAGUUUGGUCGGUCAGUACUUGGUCAAAAUACGGGCCUAUCUAUAUACCAAUUAUUCUUUUUAAUUAAAACUAGCUUAUAGCCCGUGCAAGGCACGGGAGCUUUUUAAUUAUUUAUAAACCUUUUAAAUACAUUUUAAAUGGUGUGAAAAAAUUUAAUUUAUAAAUAAUAAAUUAAAAUUGUAUGUAUCAUGCCAAAGUAUUAAAUUAUUAUCAAUUUUUAAAUUAUUUUAAGUAAAAUAUGUGACGCCAACUCUUAUUAGAUUAUAUUUAUAAAUGUCUUUUUAUAUUAGAAUUAUUAUGUGAUUAAAAUAUUUUUUAAAAAAUUUUUAUGGUUCGAGAUUAAAAUUGAUAAACACAGUUUGUUUUGAAUUAAGACGAUGAAUCAUAAACAUGUAAUAAGAUUGUAGAAUUUGUUUUGGAUUAAGAAAAUUUUUUUGUAUUCGUUCCUCACAUAAAUCGGGCUUAUUAAUUUUAGAAUAUAUUAGAUAAAAAUAAUUUUGUGACGACGCGAUUUAUAUGAUUCUACAAAUAAAAUUGGUAGAAAAUAUUUAUUUUCGAUUAAAAAAAAUCAUAAACAGGUGAAAUAUAGAAUUUGUUUUGGAUUCAGAAAAGGAAUUAUAAACAUGGAAUUAUAAACAUGCAAGUAGAUAUCAAUUGUCUUAUGGAACGGAAGUUAAUUUUAUUCUAAUCUAACGGUGCUUAUUUGUUCAAUAUACGAUCCGAUGGAUAAAUCUAAUUUUGUGACGGUGCGAUUUAUACGAUUCUACAAUUAAAAUUUGUAGGAAAUAUUUUUUUUGUAUUAAAAAAAACCAAAAACACAUGAAAGACGGAAUUUGUUUUGGAUUCAGAAAAGGAAUUAUAAACAUGCAAGUAGAUGUCAGUUUCCUUAUAGAACAAAAUUUAAUUUUGUUCUAAUCUAACGAUGCUUAUUUGUUCAAUAUACGAUCCAACGGAUGAUAAGCUUUUGGACCAUAAGACCAUGCGACCAAAUUAUCUCCCUUACGCUUAUUAUAUAUAAGUAUAUAAUAUGUUAUCUUUUUUUAUAUUUUCUAACUAAAAAAACUCCAUCAUUUAAAAUUAUAUGGAGAAACAUAGUAAUUACCUUUUUAACUAAAACACAUUAUCUUUUUUAUAUUUUCUAACUAAAAAACAGAUUUUCUACAAUUAACAUGAGCUACAUAUAUAAAAAUAUAAUAUUAUUAUAUAUAAUUAUUAAUAACUAACCUGUGAUAUUUUUCAACCAAAAUACAUUAACAUUAUUUUUAAAUACACUAAUGGACUCAAUUUAAAAAUAAUAUUAUAAAUCUAUAAUAUACUAUUAUACUGUUAAAUUCGAAACAUGAAAAGUUCAGUUAGUCAGUAGGUCUGUCGAAUUUGGUGAGCCAUGUGGUAUACGACCCACAACGUCUUUAUUUAUAACAUGUUGUAAUAUAUUUUUUAUUAUCAAUUAAAUUACCAAAACAUUUAAGUUAGUAUGAUGGGUCGGUAUUUAGUUUUACGCGUCUUUUUUAACUUAAUAUGUUCCAUACUAUAUUAUAAAGGGGUUUUCUCAUAAAUACCUAAGUCCAAAAUUAUUUUUGCAAAAUUACUACAUUUUUUGGAAAAAUUAUCAAAUUUUUGAAAAUAUUUGCAAAAAUACUGUAUGCAACCUGUUGCCACCACAUGCAACGAUACUUGCAACCAGAUGCAACCAUAUUUGCAACUCCUGGAGGCCAAUUAACUAAAGUUGCACCUGUUUGCAUCUAGCUUCAGACCGUAUUUUUGCAAAUAUUUUCUAAAAAGUUAGUGUUUUUAUAAUUUUCUUAAAAUAUAGUAAAAUCGCAAAAAAAUUUAGAAAAUGUAAUAUUUUUAAUAAAUUCUCUAUUAUUAAUUAUCAAUAACGAAAUAUUAAAAGAUUGAUUGGUUUAUUUAUAUCUGAUUUUAUAGAUCUCUCUAAAUUAUAACAUGAAAAACAAAUGUAUUUUAACAUUCUCUGUAAAAUAUAUAUGUUCGACCUAAUUUUUUAUUAGCCAUUUGACGAAAUUAACUAUUAAGAAUUUAUCAUUUGUUAAAUAUAAAAUUUAUUUAAUCAUAUUAUUCUAUCAUAAUUUUACUCUCAAAAUAAUAUUAGUUUAAGUUAAAAUAUAUACGAUAAAAUUACAAAUAUUAUAACCGCCCGUGCAUUGCACGGGUUAUAAGCUAGUGUAAGUUGUGAAUUAAAUAAUUAAUGUCGUCUCUAAUAAAAUUACUUAAAACUCUAGCCCAAGCCCAUGUAAGCUAUGAAUUAAAUAAUUAAAAGUGCUCUAAUAAAACUCCUUAAAACUCUAACUCAAACUCAUAUAAGCUAUGAAUUAGACAAUUAAACGCGCAUGGCCCAAGCCCAUGUAAUCCGUUCUAAUAAAACUCUUUAAAAUCCUAACCCAAACCCAUAUAAGCUAUAAGCUAUAAAUUAAAUAAUUUAAAGCGCUCUAAUAAAACUCCUUAAAACCCUAGCCCAAGCCCACAUAAGCUUUGAAUUUAAAUAUUAAACGGGGCUACUACAUUUCAAUUCAAACUUGUGAUUUACGCCAUUUUCUCAAAUGCCUGCGGCGGCUACUAUUCUGUAUUUCUGUAUAGUAAACCCUUUUUCUUGAUUAAAAAUCAACCCAUGACGAAGAAGCCUGUGUGGUAAUCUCAUUCUGUUAGUUAUACAUGCAUCAUUUUGUUUUUUACACACACAUAGAGUGAUGAUUUGCUAAAAAGAUUGAAUUUUUCAGGUGGAUGCAUUCACAGAAUCAGCGUUCAAGGGAAACCCAACUGCAGUUCAAUUGGUGGCCACUGAGUUCAAUCUAUCUGAGAGACAUGUUUCUUCACUAGGAUUGACUUGGAUUCGUCUUCACCUCAGAUGGUUCACUCCUGUUGCCGAGGUUCACUUGCUUUUGAUUCUUGUCUUAUUUUUUAGGUUUUUAUGAUUCCCCCGGUGUUGAAUUUUGGACUUGUGUAUUGGGUUUGUGUAAAGAUUUGAUCUUUUUGGUGGUAGUGGUCUUGAAUUGAAUUUGUUUAUUGGUCUUGUGUAGUGGGUUUGUGUAAAGAUUUGAUCUUUUUGGUGUAGCAGUCUUGAAUUUGAUUGGGGCAAAACAAAGUUAAUUUGGACAUUCAAGGGGAAGUAAUAACGAAGAUGUAUGAUAUGCAUGUCAAACCCCUUUGUUGCCAAGGUUCAGUUACUAUUGAGUCUUGUUCAUCGUUUUAGUUUUUCUGAUGCACACACUGGUUUCAUAUUUGAUCCAUUUGGAGCUUGUUCAUUAAUCAUCGCUAUUCUACUUUGUGACGUAGUAUUUUGUGAAUUCAGGCAUCAACUAGAGGUGGCAUCAUAAAAUUACAUUUAGAUGAGAGGAAUCAAAGGGUAAUGCUCCAAAGGAAAGUUGUUAUUGUGAUGGAAGGUUCUCUCCUAGUUUAUAUAUGGAGGUAUUCCUAGAAUCUUGAGAUCAUUAUAUUGUAUCUGUAGCAGUUUACUUAACAAGUUUUUUUACCAUUUACUGCAUAUAUUUUUUGAUGAACAUUGAACACUACUUUCUUAAAUGUGUUGUUGAUAUGCGUUUCGUGCUAAUGAUUAUUGAUAAGUAGUACUUUUAUAGUUCUCUUCGAUAGAUUGCUUGCAAUUAUCUAGUUGAUUAAUUAAUGCAGCGUAUUCAUGUACAGAGUUUGUUAAGUAUCAACUCAGUGGAGGUAGUUAGGUGUUAAAGUAAAUUCCUUGUCAUCAUGUACAUACGUGGUUGUUCAAAUUGUGCAAGAUAGGACUUAAAAGAACUUUUUCUUUGAGCUAAUUACCUGCACCCACAAUGUUCCCUUAAUUGCCAGAAGAAAAACAUAAUAAGAGUUGCUCGAUGAAAAAUUCCCAUGUUAUAACCGAUUGCUUUGCUCGUAAGGUUUGAAACCAAAUGUUCUAUCCUAGUGCAAUGUUGCAUAUAUAGGUCAGUAAGUUGAGCCCCAAAUAAUAUAUGUCAGUAUUAAUUAUGACACCCACAAGCGAAACACUAAUCAGAUUACGGAAACCUUUAUAUUCCGGGGGUGGUGUGGGCAUACCGUGACUAGACUCUGAUGACUCAACUCUGAACAUGAAAACAAAUAAGAUGGUAUUUUGUAGGCACUGGAUGUACGAUUAUGAAGUUCCAGUUCCCUAACUCCAGUGUUUGAUAUGUUUUUAACCCAAAUAUCUAUAUCUGAAUAGAGAUGUAGAGGCAGAUCAUUAGGAAUGCAAAGAAUAAACUCUAAUAUGAGACCAUUACGAGAUAAAAUAAUACUGCUGACGGUUCUUGAAAAUUCAUAUAGUUUAGUUUCUCUACUUCUGAAAGAAAACCUCUGAGAAAGCCGGUUGAAGAAAAGGUCAUCAAAAACUAGGUGUGUGCGCAUUUCCCAUUUACCCCUCCAUCUUUUGAGAGUAUGCUCAUUCUUGUUACACAGUCAACUGGUAAUCGCUUUUGAAUAAGGUCUAGUAAGUCGCUAGGCAUGUCACUGAUAAUAUCAACCGCGUCUUAACAAUCAAGCCGUCUUGUGUUAGCAAUACUAGUCAUAUUUCUGAAUAUUAGAAGAAGUAAGAACCAAACUGAAAAGAUGUACAAACAAUAAUACUAUAAUAUAAAUAUAAUUAAGUAUAUUUGUAGUGGCCAACCGGGUAGUAGCAAUUAAUCAAAUUUAUCGUAGCACAGAAUUUAAAGAACAUUAUAUCCAUAAGAGCCAUAUAUGUAAAUAAUUCAACUAAACCAUUAUCACAUUUGGAAAAAAGUGGCAAAUCAUUUUCGUAUAUAUUAGCGAAAGUUUAACAGUUAAUUAAAACCCCUAAAUCAAAGAUAGAAAAAGAUUAUGUGAGAUCAACAUACAUAAAAACAUUGAUUUAUUCAAAAAGUUGAUUCACACACACACACACAAACAUAUAUUUAAACAUUUAUAUAUUUGAUUCAUGUAUUGGUGGGAGUGAGACAUUAUGAGUGCGGUGGAAUGAGGAAAGAAAUGUGAGGAUUAGUGAUACAACCCUAAUUCUUAAUUAUGUAAUCUAUAUAACGAUGUCGUGUAAUAAGUUGACUGCAAGAUAUUUGCAUAUGCUAAAAAACCGUAUCGUGUGGAACAGAACAUUCUAAAAUGGCUAAACACAACACCGUUUAAGGAUAAUAUUUACAAAUCAAUUCUUUUUUUUUAUUUAUUUCCAUUUUAGGGGCAGUAUGCUGAUACUUGUGUACAGGGAAACAACUAUCAACAUAUGUAGACAUUCCCCUGCCUAAAUAACAACCCUCCUCCAAAAUGGAAAUAAAUAUAAAAAGAAAUGAUUUGUAGAUAUUAUCCUUAAACGAUGUCGUGUUUAGCCAUUCUAGAAUGUUCUUUUUCAUAUGAUGCCGUUUUCUAGCAUAUGCAAAUAUUUUGCAGUCAAAUUAUUACACGACGUCGUUAUAGAGAUUACAUAAUUAAGAAUUAGGGUUGUAUCGCUAAUUCUCACAUUCUUUCUCACUCCGCCGCGCUCAUGUUGUCUCACUCCCAGCAAAGGUAUCAAAUGUUUAUAUAUAUUUAUGUGUGUGUGUGUGUAUUUGAAUCAUUGUUUUUUUUGAAUAUAUCAAUGUCUUUAUGUAUGUUGAUAUCUCACAUAAUAUUUUUUUCCAUUUUUGCUUUAAGGGUUUUAAUUAAUUGUUGAACUUUCGCUAAUAUAUAUGAAAAUGGUUUUGGCACUUUUUUCCAUAUGUGAUAAUGGUUUAGUUGAAUUGUUUACAUACUCGGCUGUGAUGCAUAAAUGUUCAUUAAAUUCAGUACUAUGAUAAGUUUGAUUAAUUGUUACUACCCAGUUGGUCUUUAUAUAUUGUAGCAUUACUGUUUGUAAAAUUCUUUUCAGUUUGGUUCCUACUUCUUUUAAGUAUUCAGAGAUAUGCCCAGUGAUGCUAACACAAGGCGGCUUGAUUGUGGAGACGCAGUUGAUAUUAUCAGUGACCUGCCCAGUGACUUAUUAGACCUUAUUCUAAACCGAUUGCCGGUUGACUGUGUAGCAAGAAUGUGCAUUCUCUAAAAAUCAUGGAGGGGUAAACGGGAAAUGCACCCACACUUAUUUUUUGAUGACCUUCUCUCCAACUGGCUUUCUCGGAGGUUUCCUUCCAGAAGUAGAGAAACUAAACUAUAUAAAUUUUCAAGAACUUUUAUCAGUAUUCUUUUAUCUUGUAGUGGUCUCAUAUUGAAGUUUGUUCUUUGCAUUCCUAAUGAUUUGUUUCUUCAUCUCUAUUCAAAUAUAGAUAUUUGAAUUAAAAACGUAAGAAACAAUGGAGUUAGGGAAGUGCAACUUCAUAAUCGUACAUUGAGUGCCUACAAAAUACCAUCUUAUUUGUUUUCCGGUUCAGAGUUGACUUGUUUAAUUCUAAGUUACUGUAUGCUCACACCACCCCCUAAAAUUGGAGGCUUCCAUAAUUUGAUUAUUGUUUCACUUGUGGGUGUCAUAAUUACUAUUGCCAUAUCAUUUGGGGCUCAACUUAUGGACCUACAUUUACAACGUUCUCAGAUAUUAUUGCGGGAGAAGAUGAUCAUCACCUACCACCUUACAAUCCAAAACAUUAGAUUGCGCAUCGUUUAUCCUCUUUUUCUUCUUAACCAUCUAGUGUUUUAAGACCUAAACGCUAUUUCCUGUAGAUUUUUUCAGGUGGAUGCAUUCACAGAAUCAGCGUUCAAGGGAAACCCAGCUGCAGUUUGUUUGUUAGAAGAGGAAAAAGGUGAGAAAUGGCUACAAUUGGUGGCCACUGAGUUCAAUCUCUCUGAGACAUGUUUCUUGACUAGGAUUGACUUGGAUUCGCCUAAUCCCAGGUUUCAGCUCAGAUGAUUCACUCCUGUUGCUGAGGUUCACUUGCUCUUGAUUCUUGUCUGUGUUUUUUGGGGUUUUAUGAUUCCCCGGGUGUCAAAUUCUGGUCUUGGGUAUUGGGUUUGUGUAAAGAUUUGAUUUUUUUGGUGGUAGCGGUCUUGAAUUGAAUUUGUGUAUUGGGGUUGCUUAAAGAUUUGAUCUCUUUGGUGUUAGCAGUCUUGAAUUUAACAUGGGGCAAAAUAAAGUUGAUUUAGACAUUCAAGCGGACGUAAUAACAAAUAAGUAUGAUAUGCAUAUUAAAUCCCUUUGUUACUGAGGUUCAGUUACUAUUGAGUCUUGUCCAUCUUUUUGGUUUUUGUGAUUCCCCGGAUGUCUAAUUUUGAUCUCGUUAGUAGCUCAUUUAUCUGUGUAUUGGGUUGACGUAAAGAUUUGAUCUUUUUGGUGUUACUGGUCUUGAAUAUGAAUUCGGGCAAAAUAAAGUGUUUUAAAAAAGUUAGUUUGGAGUUUGGACACUCAAGCUGAAUAUUCCCGCAAAGAUGGCUUUUCGAGUAAAUUAAGUAUGAUAUACAUAUUAAACCGCUUUAGUAAUAAUUUAAAAUUCUAGUGGAUUUGGUAACUUAAUAGAUAUUAUGUACUUUCAAUAUGUUAUUGCUUUGCUUAUGGAAUAGGUAAAGCAUGAAUAACCACGUCUUUUCUUAAUUAUGCCAUAUCACUGCUACUUUGUCAGUUGUCAUUUUACUUGAAUGUUGAAUAAAACAUGCAUAAUUAGACUAUGUUUUAUUGGAUAGCCACAGGUGGUGGUUGCUUUAUCUUCCCAUCUGAAACGGGUCUAAGCAAUCAUAUGUGUGAUAGCUAAAACUGAUGAAGAUAGUGGCUUUCUCUAUAUUAAAUUUACCAAUUGCUGGAAAAGUCAUUCGUAGCCGGCUUUUUAUAGUUUACGAAGACUUGCUAGUUUUCAUCUCUAUGCAUGAUGUCUGCUUACAGGUUAAACUUUGUGGCCAUGCAACUUUGGCGGCAUCCCACUUCAUCUUCUCAUCUGGUUUGGUGAAAGUUAAUGUGAUCGAGUUCAUGACACUGUCUGGAGUUUUGACUGCUAGGAGGGUUUCACUGCCUGAAGUUUCUGUAUUAUCACAGUUGAAAAGUGAUGGUUUCUGUAUAGAGUUGGAUUUUCCUGUCGUGCCACUGGUUGAAUAUACUUCUGUUGAGGUGUCAAACAUUUCACAAAGUUUAAAUGGCGCCUCUAUUGUUGACAUCAAGAAAAGGACUACAGAAGAUGACCUCCUUGUAUGUGUUUGGCUUUGCUCUAACAUUUUGUUAAUAUCAUUACCAUGUGGAUACAUUCUUUCUGGAAGUUGUUUAUGAUGGGGCUAACAUAUCUAAACAGUGAAAUGUUAUAUACUAGUGCCAUUGUUUCUUGCUUUGGAAAAGUUAAUAUUUUGUAUUUGAGGAAUGUAAAAGUCAUCUAAAAAUGCAGGUUAUGCUCUCAUCUGGAAAGACUGUUGCAGAAUUACAGCCGAUGUUUGAAAAGAUACAGAAACUUCCUUGCAGAGGAAUGACAGUAACAGCGCUUGCUCCCUCUGAAUCUGGGUUUGACAUAUACAGCCGCUUCUUUUGUCUUAAAUAUGGGAUUAAGGAGGUAAACAUUAAGCUAAAUAUCAGGAUUCAUUUAUAAUUUUCGAAACAUUUGGAGUUUUCUCAUAGUCUUGCUACACUUGGUAUGUGGUAGUCUCUUCAUAACCUGUCUACCUUCCGGAUACAUUCUUGUCUUUCUUUUCCUAUGUGUAGAAUUCGGAUAUUCCAUUUGGCCUCCACCCGCCUUUCAUUAUAGUUCAUUUGCUAGAUUAUUUGUAUAAUGUUGAAUCCAAAACUAAAUUUAAAUUGUCUAUCCUUAGCCUCCUUGCUUCUUAUUGUCUGUGGAUAUACAGGCACGUGCUGUUUUAAGGGUGAAAUUUAGUUGAAUCCGGGUUUUCGAUAGAGGUGCUAGUUUUUAUGUCCUGUCUUCCCCUAUAGACUAUAGUUACAUGCACCAGGUCAAUAACUAAAGAAAGAGCUUAUCUAAAAGUUGAACAUCUGUCCUGAGUGCUGGGACUUGAUACAAUCGGUAACCUCUUUAAUGCGUGCAAUUUUAUUUCAGGAUCCUGUCACAGGCAUUGCACGUUGUGCCUUGGCACCCUUUGGUGCCAAAAGCUGGGAAAAAGUGAUCUUGUUGCAUAUCAGGUUAUUGUUCUUAGUGCUCACUGCUCACUCUCUGCCUAACUCUAUCAAAUGUGUAUGCACACACUGAUUUCAUAUUUGAUCCAUUUGGAGCUUGUUCAUUAAACUCACUAUUCAACUUUGUGAUGUAGUAUUUCGUGAAUUCAGGCAUCAACAAGAGGUGGCUUCAUAAGAUUUCAUCUAGAUGAGAGGAAUCAAAGGGUAAUGCUCCAAGGGAAAGCUGUUACUGUGAUGGAAGGUUCUCUCCUAGUUUAAAUAUGGAGGUAUUCCUAGAAUGCCUAAAAUGAACUGGGAGCUAUUCAUAAUUAAAACAUCAGAAUCUUGAGAUCAUUAUAUUGUGUCUGUAACAGUUUACUUAACAAGUUUUUAUAGCUAUUUCUUGAUGAACACUAUCUUCUUAAAUGUGUUGUUGAUAUGUGUUUCGUGCUAAUGAUUAUUGAUAAGUAGUACUUUUAUAGUUCUCUUAGAUAGAUUGCUUGCAAUUAUCUAGUUGAUUAAUUAUUGCAGUUGUGUUCACUCUUCAGAGUCACUGAAACUAAAUUGAGUUGGUAAUCUGUUUGUUGGCCUGACAAGUAACAUAAGUGAGUAUUUAUGAGUCAUUUUAUUCAACAUGUUCAAUAUAUCUAUUGCGAAGUAUUGUGCAAAGUAUGGAAAAUCGUAAAUAAUACUGGCAAAAUUGUGCCAAUAUUAUUCAGAUCACUUAACUUCACUUAUUACCGAAAGAAAGCCGUUGAUGAUUAUAUUCUUGCCAAGAUUCAUAUAUUUUUGCUGAUUGUAUACUAGUUUUUAGAAUAUGAAUUGAUAUUGAAUUGAUAUUAUAUUUAAUAAUUGGCAUUUCAUUUAAAAUGAUAGUAUAAUUUUGAUUUUGAAUUUGGAAGGUUAAUUUUGAAUAUUUAGAAAUUAUUUCAAGAAUUUAGUCCGAUAGUCCUAUGUAAUAUGUGUCAGUUCCUUUUUGUAUGUAUUAAGACUUAUGUCAAAUGUAAUUAUAAAAGAGUUUUUGUAUUAUUAUAUGUUGGUAGUUAAUUUUUGGGAUAUUUUUAAAAAUACCCAUCUGUAAAAUUAUUUUUUUAAAAAUACUACCAUCUUUUUCAUUGUUUUUAAAAAUACCUUUUCAUAAAUUUUUUUUUUCAAAAAUACGAUUUGCAACCUUUGCAACCUCAUUUGCAACCUUGGGCGGCGCAGCCGUAAAAGUUGCAAAUGAGGUUGCAAAAGUUGCAAAUAAAAAUGGAAAUGAGGUUGCAAAAGUUGCAAAUGAGGUUGCAAAAGUUGCAAAUAAAAAUGGAAAGUUGCAACAGUUGCAACUGCAAUUGCAACUAGUUCAACUGAAAACUGUAAGUUGCAAAAGUUGCAAAUGAGGUUGCAAAAGUUGCAACUGAGGUUGCAAAAGUUGCAACUGCAGUUGCAAAAGUUGCAACCUCAGUUGCAACUAAAUGCAACUGAAAACUGUAAGUAACAACAGAUGUAUGGUGUGCCCCUGGCGGGGCCGGUAGAUUACAAUAGAAUCAACUGAAUGCAACCAUAUGCAACUGAAUACAACCAUAUGCAACCAUAUAUGCAAUUACAAAUCCUGAUUUCAAGUUCCAGUUUUCGAAUGUCGUUUUCGACCUCAUUUUCGGAAUCGAUAUAUAUAUAUAUAUAUAUAUAUCUGUUCUGAUAUAAAGUCACUAUUCUCGUUAAAACUGCCUUUUGGUAGUUCUGAUAUAGUGACUCAAUAACUCAAUGAUUAAAGGCAGAAUUAAAUAGAUACUCUAGAAGCAAUGUAAAACACUUUUAUAUGAACGGUUUCAGAAAAAAGAUUAUUGAAAAUUUAGAUAUAAAACUGCUUUUACUACUCCCUUUGGUCACUAUGAAUGGAAUGUAGUUCCAUUUGGACUUAAAAAUGCCCCUAGUGAAUUCCAGAAUAUCAUGAAUAAUAUAUUUAACCCCUUUAGCCAUUUCUCAAUAGUAUAUGUAGAUGAUGUUCUUAUCUAUUCUAAUUCUAUUGAAGAACAUUGGAAACAUCUGAACUCUUUUUUCAAUACAAUUAAGACUAAUGGUCUAGUACUAUCACCAACUAAAUGUGUCUUAUUUCAGACAAAAGUAAGAUUUUUAGGUCAUACCAUUCAGUAUGGGAAAAUUAGACCAAUAGAUAGAUCAAUUGAAUUUGCUAGUAAAUUCCCAGAUGAAAUACUUGACAAAACCCAACUCCAAAGAUUUCUAGGAUCACUCAACUACAUAGGAGAAUUUUAUAAAGAUCUUAGGAAGCAAUGUAAACCAUUAUUCGAACGAUUGCAAAAUAAUCCCCCGCCUUGGACUUCUAUCCAUACUUCUAUUGUCCAAGAUAUUAAAAAAUAUGUUAAGACUCUUCCCUGUCUUGGCAUUGCUAAUCCUUCUGCAUUUAAAAUAGUAGAAACCGAUGCCUCUGAAGUUGGAUUUGGAGGUAUUCUUAAACAAAAAUUAAACCCUUCUUCACAUGAAGAAAUUGUUUGUUUUCAUUCAGGAGCUUGGGAUCAAACCCAACAAAAUUAUUCAACCAUUAAAAAAGAAAUUUUAAGCCUUGUCUUAUGCAUCAAUAAAUUCCAGCAUGAACUUUUAAAUCAAAAGUUUUUAGUCAGAAUUGAUUGCCAGUCAGCAAAAUUUAUUUUAGAAAAAGAUGUUCAAAAUAUUGCAUCAAAACAGAUUUUUGCCAGAUGGCAGGCUUUAUUAAGCAUAUUUGAUUUUGAUAUACAAUACAUUAAAGGAAGUGAAAAUUCUAUUCCAGAUUUUCUAACUAGAGAAUUUCUACAAACAGGAGUGAAAGAUGAGUGUGAGAGAUAACAAUAGCCAGGUUAUUAUAUAUAUAUAUAUAUAUAUAUCGAUUCCGAAAAUGAGGUCGAAAACGACAUUCGAAAACUGGAACUUGAAAUCAGGAAUUUGGUUGCAUAUGAAGUUGCAAAAGAGGUUGCAACACGGCUGGCGCCGCCUGGAGUUGCAGAUGAGGUUGCAAAAGUUGCAAACAGUAUUUUUGAAAAAAAGAUUUUAUGAAAAGGUAUUUUUAAAAAGAAUUCUGGAAGGUAGUAUUUUUGUAAAUAAUUAAAGAAAAGGUAGGUAGUUUUGUAGAUUUCCCUUAAUUUUUAUAGCUAACAAAUUUCAAAAAUAUAUAUUAUUUGCACAUACAUCUUCAGAACAUAUUACAUAAAUAAGCUGCUCCAGAGCUCUUCAUCCCAAACAUGACGAUGACUAGGAAAGAGAAAAAAAAAUUCCAGUUCACAUUUCGAACCUGCUGGACAAGUAAGUUUUCUUUUAAUUUUCAAACAUGGAUUAACUUCUUAUUCAUUCAUUUACUUUUGUGAUGUAAUUGGAUCAAAUUUUUUGUAUAUAAUCCCAUGUGAAGCAAACACAUGAAUUUAGCUCUAUACAUUUCAGGCCUGGUUCUCAUUUCUAUGUAUACAACUUGGAUAGUUUUAUGAUUAAUAUGCUCGAUAUGAUACCAUGAUUUGAUAUUGCGUUUGUUAAGUGUUUAAUAAAUGUUAUCCAAACUAAUUGCCUCUAGUUGGUCAUGAUGUAAUUCGAUAUUCAUAAGUUGUUUUUGAUAUCAAUAAUCAAAUUUGAGUCGAUAUGUGCAAGAGAUCGCUGUGAAUAUAUGCGUAACAGGUCACUGUGAAAUGUAAUAAGUGUGAGUGAAGUAUGUUUGAAUUUAUAACUCAAAUCCAAUGAUUUUAAUUGCUAAUUUAAGAAUGGAAUGGUACUGUUUAUGUCAAGUGUUCAUUUUCUUCGUAUAUGUGUACAACUUUAAUAACAUGUCUUAAUGCUAUGAAGUAUUAUACUAUUAUUCCACCAAGUCCAAGAGUAAUUCCUUUUCCUUAGAAUUUUCAAUAGCUUCCCGGGGGCGAAGAAGGCUUAUUAAUAUACAGAUUUUGUUAAGUAUCAGCUCAAUAGAAGUAGUCAGGUGUUAAGUAAAUUCCUUGUCAUCAUGUACAUACGGGGUUGUUCCAAAUUGUGCAACAUAGGACUAAACAGAACUUUUCCUUUGAGCUAAUUACCUUCAAGCGCAAGGUUCUCUUAUUUGCCAGAAGAAAAUAAUAAGAGUUCCUCGAUGAAAAAUUCCCAUGUCAUAAUCGAUUGCUCCACUCGUAAUGUUUGAAACCAAAUGUUCAAUCACUCUACAAUGUUGCAUAUAUAGGUUAAGCUGAGCCCAAAUGAUGUCAGUAUUAAUUAUGACACCCACAAGCGAAACACUAAUCAGAUUACAGGAAACCUUCCUAUUUCGGGGGUGGUGUAGGCAUACAGUGACUUAGAUCAGAUGAGUCAAUUUUGAACAUGAAAACAAAUAAGAUGGUAUUUUGUAGGCACUGGAUGUACGAUUAUGAAGUUUCACUUCCCUAACUCCACUGUUUGAUAUGUUUUUAAUCCAAAUAUCUAUAUCUGAAUAGAGAUGAAGUGGCAGAUCAUUAGGAUUGCAAAGAAUAAACUUCAAUAUGAGACCUCCAAGAGAUAAAAGAAUACUGCUGCCGGUUAUUGAAAAUUCAUAUAGUUUAGUUUCUCUACUUCUGAAAGGAAACCUCUGAGAAAACCGGUUGAAGAAAAGGUCAUCAAAAACUAGGUGUGAGUGUAUUUCCCAUUUACCCCUUCAUGUUUUUGAGAGAAUCCUCAUUCUUGCUACACAGUCAACCGGCAAUCACUUUUGAAUUAGGUCUAGUAAGUCACUGGGCAUGUCACUUUUGAAUUAGACCUUAUACCAAAGCGAUUGCCGGUUGACUGUGUAGCGAGAAUGUACAUUCUCUCAAAAACAUGGAGGGGUAAAUGGGAAAUGCACCCACACCUAGUUUUUGAUGACCUUUUUCUUCAACCGGCUUUCUCAGAGGUUUCCUUCCAGAAGUAGAGAAACCAAACUAUAUGAAUUUUGAAGAACCGUCAGCAGUAGUCUUUUAUCUCGUAGUGGUCUCAUAUUGAAGUUUUUUCUUUGCAUUCCUCAUGAUUUGUUUCUUCAUCUCUAUUUAGAUAUAGAUAUUUGGAUUAAAAACAUAACAAACAAUGGAGUUAAGGAAGUGCAACUUCAUAAUCGUACAUUGAGUGCCCACAAAAUACCAUCGUAUUUGUUUUCCUGUUCAGAGUUGACUCGUCUGAUUCUAAGUUGUAUGCUCACACCACCCCGGAAAUUGAAGACUUCCGUAAUCUGAUUACUGUUUUGAUUGUGGGUGUCAUAAUUACAACUGACAUAUCAUUUGGGGCUCAACUUACUGACCUACAUUUGCAAAGUUGCAUUGGGAUUGAACAUUUGAGAAUGGAAAGGCAUUUGUUUAUGUCAAGUGUUCAUUUUCUUCGUAUUUGUGUACAACUUUAAUAACAUGUCUUAAUGCUAUCAAGUAUUAUACUAUUAUUCCACCAAGUACAAGAGUAAUUCCUUUUCCUUAGAAUUUUCGAUGGCUUCCCGGGGGCGUAGAAGGCUUAUUAAUAUACAUAUUUUGUUAAGUAUCAGCUCAAUAGAAGUAGUCAGGUGUUAAGUAGAUUCCUUGUCAUCAUGUACAUACGGGGUUGUUCCAAAUUGUGCAACAUAGGACUCAAAAAAACUUUUUCUUUGAGCUAAUUACCUUCACGCGCAAGGUUCUCUUAUUUGCCAGAAGAAAAUGAUAAGAGUUCCUCGAUGAAAAAUUCCCAUGUCAUAAUCGAUUGCUCCACUCGUAAGGUUUGAAACCAAAUGUUCAAUCACACUACAAAGUUGCAUAUAUAGGUUAGUAAGUUGAGCCCAAAUGAUGUCAGUAUUAAUUAUGACACCCAUAUGCGAAACACUAAUCAGAUUAUAGGAAACCUUCAUAUUUCGGGGGUGGUGUAGGCAUACAGUGACUUAGAUCAGAUGAGUCAAUUUUGAACAUGAAAACAAAUAAGAUGGUAUUUUGUAGGCACUGGAUGUACGAUUAUGAAGUUUCACUUCCCUAACUCCACUGUUUGAUAUGUUUUUAAUCCAAAUAUCUAUAUCUGAAUAGAGAUGAAGUGGCAGAUCAUUAGGAUUGCAAAGAAUAAACUUCAAUAUGAGACCUACAAGAGAUAAAAGAAUACUGCUGCCGGUUAUUGAAAAUUCAUAUAGUUUGGUUUCUCUACUUCUGAAAGGAAGCCUCUGAGAAAGCCGGUCGAAGAAAAGGUCAUCAAAAACUAGGUGUGAGUGUAUUUCCCAUUUACCCUUCAUGUUUUUGAGAGAAUGCUCAUUCUUGCUACACAGUCAACCAGCAAUCACUUUUGAAUUAGGUCUAGUAAGUCACUGGGCAUGUCACUUUUGAAUUAGACAUUAUACCAAAGCGAUUGCCGGUUGACUGUGUAGCAAGAAUGUGCAUUCUCUCAAAAACAUGGAGGGGUAAAUGGGAAAUGCACCCACACCUAGUUUUGAUGACCUUUUCUUCAACCGGCUUUCUCAGAGGUUUCCUUCCAGAAGUAGAGAAACUAAACUAUAUGAAUUUUCAAGAACCGUCAGCAUUAGUCUUUUAUCUCGUAGUGGUCUCAUAUUGAAGUUUGCUCUUUGCAUUCCUCAUGAUUUGUUUCUUCAUCUCUAUUCAGAUAUAGAUAUUUGGAUUAAAAACGUAUCAAACGGUGGAGUUAGGGAAGUGAAACUUCAUAAUCGUACAUCCAGUGCCUACAAAAUACCAUCUUAUUUGUUUUCAUGUUCAGAAUUGACUCAUUUGAUUCUAAGUUGUUGUAUGCUCACACCACCCCGGAAAUUUGAAGACUUCCGUAAUCUGAUUACUGUUUUGCUUUUGGGUGUCAUAAUUACAAUUGACAUAUCAUUUGGGGCUCAACUUACUGACCUACAUUUGCAACGUUGCAUUGGGUUUGAACAUUUGGGUUGUCAAUAUAAAUAUUAUAUCAAUCUCACUUUUCUGAGUAUCACCCAUUGUGGGGAAAUUGAUUGGCUAUGGUUUAGAUGCACCCGAAAGGUGAUUGAUUUNGACUUGCGGUCCUCUCUGUAAGUGAUAAUCACAUUCCACCCACUCUGGCUUAGAUUCUGCCUUGUUUUUCUUUCACUUAUUCUCCAGCUAUAUUUGUUCCUACUUUCUCUUUAUUAAUCACGUCAUAACAAUGUCCUCAUAUUAUCUGUAAUAGCAUUGUAUUGUAUUGAGUCCUGAUCACAUUUGUGUUUUUUAUUAUAUCUAUCAAUAUAUAUAUUCUCUUCUUGUUUGUUCUCCUGGCUGGUAAGACAACUUCUCAAAUCUAUUUUUAAGGUUCACGGAUAUCCUUGCUCUCUUGAUAAUAAGAGGUCGAGGACUCAAGUUGGAGUAGUCAGGUGUGCAUGCCUAUUUAAAUUUCUGAAUUGACCUUACUAGAAAUAAGAAAAUUCGUCAAUAUAAUAUAUUGUUUCAUCAUUCGUGUACCAUACAUAUGUACACAUUAAAUUUUAUUAACAGAUUACGACGAAUGUCUACAAUAUAUCUCUUGGUAACAUAAUUCUGAUUGCAUACUAUAUAUCCUAAAAUAUGGUUAAGCACUACUAAAUGAAUUUUACAUGUUCACGAGUACUAUGCUCUUCUGUUAACCUUGUAUGUAGGAACCUGAUGCGAAGUGGUGGAAUGUUAUGCACUAGGUAGAAAGCUGGGAAUAUGGUGUCAUCGGUGACACAAUAUUUGCAAUCACUACACUUGAUUGGCAUGGCUUUUGACCAACUCGAAACUGUGGAAUUAUAUGGAGUGAAUCUUUCUUCUGAGCUUCAUUUCAUAAAGCUUUUGCUUGCAUCUUCUCCUUCGCUUAAAUUGAUGAGAAUUUAUAACAUGAUUCAUGACCGUGAAAAAAGCGUCGAGGGUGUCGCAAGAGUUGAUGAGGUUCCCCCGAGCAUCCACAACUGCAGAGAUUAUAUGGAAGUAACGAGUAGUAUUGAUAGGUUUGUUUUGGAAGUUAAUGUUGAACCAUAUGGACUCCUUGGGAUUGUUUAUUUUGUGGUUGCAGAAUCAGAGACCCCUUUUUGUGGCUCUUGAACGUGAGAUCUUUUUCUGGGUUUAUUAACUUCAAUUUCAAUGACAGCAAAGUUUUUGGUUUAUUUAUUUAUUUAUCUUUUCUGGGUUUUUCUUAAGUUUUUGGUUUAGAUGGCUUUCAUGUUUAGAGUCCCGUAAACUGUAGGCUACAUGUAGUCAUGGUUGCUUCUCUAUUUGACAAUCAUAUUUUAGGCGCUCUCUUGAGAGUUGUUAUUUGUCAUAUUUUCAUAGUUUAGCCCUGGCCGUCCCUUUCCCAGAAACUAAAAUACCUUGAACUAGAAGUCACUCUUGUUAUCGGUAGUCUGAGUGUUGCUCUGUUUGACCCCCCUGUCCUGAACUUUUUCUGAUCCUGGGUGUUGCUUUGUUCGCCCCCCAUUGUUACAAGCAUCAGGUCCUUAAGUAACAGGAAGUGCUUAUCUAAAAGCUGAACAUUUGUCCUCACUGAUGGAAGUUUCUCUCUUAGUAUGCUGUUUAUUCUGGAACAGUUAUAUAGAAUAGCACAUUUUCUGACAUUACUUUGAAAUUCUCUUAUCCUUUUCUUGGUAUGUGUAAACCCCUAUGGAAGUCUUUAUUAUUUUCACGAAACGGUUGAUUGCAGAAAUUUAAAUACUCUCUUUAAUUUUCAAAUACUGUGUGGCAAUCAAGCAUGUCAAAUACUGUGUGGUAAUUUUCGAUGAGUAUUCUCACGCACCUGUCUUGUCUUUAAUAAGAUUCAAAACCUCGACGUGAGAGAUUUCAUGAUACCAUCUGAUCAAGAGGUCUUAAUUCUUGAUCCAUGUUUUUUUUGUUUGCAAGUUGACUCAUCAUCUAUGUUACCCGGACUCGACUAAAAAUGUCCCAUAUUAAUGUGUUUAGUGUCGGAUUUAGUAAUAUUCUGAAAAUUUUAUACGUUUUUUCUAAAAUAAGUGUUGGAGUGGCCAUAUACAUGUUCGAGUGUUUACUUCUGAUAAAAUGAAGAGUUGGGGUAAUAUAGCUCCUGAUUUGGUUGUGUUGUUAUGGGAUUGAUAUAGGUGGAUGCAUUUACGGAGUCGGCGUUUAAGGGGAACCCUGCUGCUGUGUGUUUCCUAGAAGAGGAGAAAGAUGAGACAUGGUUACAAGCUGUUGCAACUGAGUUCAAUAUUUCUCAGACAUGUUUCUUGACUCGGAUUGCGGCUGACUCCGUUUCUACCAACCCUCUGUUUGGCCUCAGGUGGUUCACUCCUGUUGCUGAGGUCCUCUCUUUUUCUCUCCUUUUUUUGGGGAUAUUUUAUUAUUUGAUUUAAGGACUAUUGAGUAUUUAUGUUUUUUUCAGUUUUUUUUGUACUAAUUAAAUUAUUUUUUUGUACUAAUUAAAACAUACGUAAAUAAAGCAAAAAAGUAACAAAAUGCGGGUGGGUAAAGUAAAUAAACUUCAAAAUUAUAUUUAGGCUUCGUUUGUUUCACCAAAAAUAACUUAAUUUUAGAAAAUAUUUUCUUCGGGAGCUACUUUCCUAAAAGAAUGUUUUUUACAGAACAUAUUUGCCGUCCUAAACAAAUGUUUUAUGCUGAAAUUUUUGAGAAAAUUUUCUCGAGAAUUUUUCAUAAAUUUUUCUCGAGAAAUUUUAGGGAAAAUUUCCAACAAUUAUCCAUGAGAAAUAUUUUUCUAGAUAAUAUUUUCCCCUGUUCAAAUGUCGGAAAAACGUUUUUCUGGCAAACAAGCGAAGUCUAGCUUUUUUUAAAUGCAAGAAAAUAGUGUUUUAGCCUGAAAAUAUAUUUUCCCAUUCCGCUGUGCAAAUAUGUUUUGUUGGAAGAAAUUAUGAACUGCAUUUUGUUUGUUAAUAUGCAAUUAGCAGAAGUAACUAGUCAUAUACACUAAAAAAAAUUGUGAAUGACAUUAGAAUUAGUAAUUUCACUUAUGAUAGAAUAUAACAACUCUUACUUUGUUUACAAUUACAUUCGAUUUAUGUUAUCUCUAUAUAUCUUUUGCUGUCCUUAAUGUUUGUAGUGUAAUGGAUUGUUAAUAAUAUAAUCCUGAAAUUUCUGGAUUCAGGUCAGCAACCGACGAACUCGCAGGUGGAUAAAUGAUCGUCUGUUGAUGGAGCUUGUUCCUCGUUUGAAUGCAGAGGAAAUUAGAGGCUUGUUUGCGCCACCACCUUGGGGUAAGAGAAACCAUAUAGACUUUUUAUUGUGUUUAUGUUUUGAAGCUCAAUGCAUUUUUGAAAUUUGCUUAUUGCAUUUUAAAGACUAAAAACUUUGGUUUCAAACAGACUUGGCACGAAUCUUUUCUUAUGUUUCACUAUUGUUAUUUAUGUUUGAAGGUGAAACUGAAAGAAAUGAGAAGAGUGUCAUAGUCCCUCCUUUAAUGUAGUCUCAAACAUAAUUUUGAUGGGAGGUCAAUUUUACAGGUGAUGAGGUACCAGUUUCAGCAUUCUGCAUGACAAAUGGAGGGGAGUGGGACAAGUUCAGAAGUAUUGACAUGGACAAAGAGGUUUUUUACUUCUCUUACUUACUAUGUACUCUUAUUAUUUUAGUUUGUGCAUAAUUAUAUACAUGUAUAUAGAAUAUUUUCUAUAAAGGCUUUGCUGCAGUGCGGAUGCCAUUCAAAUGUUUGAUAUAGCAUAGGUNCAGUUUUUCUUAGGGUAAUUUAGUAAUAGCCACCGAGGGGUGAAGAGGGGGGCGGGGGUUAAAAAUCAUGGACAAAGAGGUUUAGGGUUUUUAUCGAUAAAAUGUGUUUCCUGCUUUCUAUUUUUCUAUUGAUUGGUUUGUGAUGUCUCUUUGCAAUUGUUGUGCUGAAGUGUUUUCCUUAAAGAGUAGUGGGAUGAAAAAAAGGUAAUUAAAGGUAAUAAAGCAUAACCAGUGGGAAUUUAUUGUAACAAUUUGGUCCCACAUUUAAUAGUAUGACUGUAUGUUUUGAUAAUACCUGGUUCCACAAAUCUAUAUCAUUGUUCUGGUCCAUAUACCAAGGAUGUAUACUGUUAUGUUAAUUCUGGGGUUCUCAAAAACUGGAGAUCGGAAAGAUUUUUUCAAGUUCUUUCAUUUCCCUUUUUCCCUCUGAUUAUGUACCGUAUCUGCGAAUAGUUUUUAUUGCUUCAGGACAUGUCAUCUGAACAUCUGAUGUAUAAAGGCGUGUGACAUCUUUUCAUCUGUUUAAUUUCUUGUUGACAGAUCAAAGUAAUCGAAACCCUUGGAGGCUCUUCUUCAAAAAAGAAAGGUCGUGUGGAUGUUGAUAAGAUGGCUGAUUUGGCUGCAUGGCACAGAGUAAACUGUCGCACUAGAGAAGCACUCCGACAUAGCUUCCUUGCCGAGCUAAUUGAGAGCUAUGAGGUAGUACUUUAUGUGAAAUGAGUUUAAUGAAAGAUGAUAAAUUCACUAUCAUGUGAACUUUUUCCUUUAUAUAUUAACUAGGAACCUUCUUCCUGUAUAUUUAUAUGUAUUUACAGAAGUCUUUUUUUUUUUUUUAUCUUCCUGUAUAUUUAUAUGUAUUUACAGAAGUCUUUUUUUUUUUUUUAUUUGACAGUAUUUACAGAAGUCUUAUUUUGAUUAACAAGAAGGGUAGACUAUAAUCUUUAUCUCUGAAGUAAUAAUUGCUUGUUCCUUUUUAUUGCAUUUUCUUAUCAUAUCUUACCUGUCUGUCACAAGGCAUGUGAUUGUCUAACUAAAACUUAUUGGAAAAACUUUUACUUAGUAUUGUUAUGUUUCAUAAUCAAGUCAACUUUCUAGUAUUAUGAAGAAACUUGUCCACUUGUUAUUUAUUAUAUUGUUCAUCUGAUAAUUUUUUUACAAAUUUAUGAUAUUUUGUUGCCUUUCCUAGUGUACCUUACGCAUCACCUCUUUGCAGGCAUGUCUGAGGGUUUUCAUUGAGGGUCUUGACGGAGAUGUUCUUGUGCUACAUGUUAAAGACCCUUUCCAUAGGAUGCUACUUCACGGUGUUUGUGAGGUAUAGCUCCUUGGAAUCUUGUAAAGUUGAGCUUCAACUAGAAUUUUGCUCAUCUAUAUAAAUUUGUUGACAUUUUACCUUCUCAUGGCACUGGUGGAUUCUAUUGAGUUUGCAGGACAUGCUAAUACAUGUAGUAGUAGAUACAAUGACCAAUCUUAUUAGUAUUGCUGAUAAUCUUAUCACCUGUAUUUUCCCAGUUCUAAGACUUGGUGUCUGUGACAGACACCGAAUCAGACACAGAGCCGAUGAAGCCCACAAAGAUCAAGAAAAAGAAAGCAGGCUCUGUCCAACCACCGAAAAUCACCCUCUGCAACUUCCUGAAAAUGGCAAAGGAAGGAAACUGGUAACUCCGUUUGCAGGGACUCGCAUACAUUAGUAGAUGGGUAGUAUAGAACCCAGUUAUCAUCAUAUCAAAUCGUCUUGUUUGUGAAAACAAAUCGUAAUGACUUAAUUAUCGUUUUAGGCCUUAGUGUGAUCUGUAACAUUAAUAGGUUGUUAAAAUUGCUGGCAAUCCUCUAGUAGUUGUUUCUACAUCUUUCCAAGAGCAGAUUAAAAAUGUCAGUGACAAAAUCAAUUCUCUGAUAAUGUUGUGCUUGAUAAAAUUUCCGUGUAAAAAUAAUUUAUAAAAGAAGCAUCAUAAAAGUGUAAAAUAUUAUUUUUGGUCCGAAAUGUUACUAUACAGUGGUAUCAAAUGCCAAAAGAAUAUUGAGUUUCGACACUUUAAGUUACUUAUACUCUAUUCUAUAUAGCAAAAAAUCGGUUCUUUUGACACUUUAAGUUACUUAUACUCGUUUUUAGAUAGCAAAAAAUCGGUGGGCGUUUGGUAACGCUUAAGCACUUCUGACUUCUUUUAGCACUUUUGUAACACUUUAAGUUACUUGUACUUUUGUAACACUUUAAGUUACUUAUUGAGUGAUCCGCAUUUUAUUAUGAAGUGUUUACAUUUUUAGAGUCAAGUUCUAUGGAGUACAAACAAUAUUGGAGUAUUGGAGUACAAGAUUCAUACAAUAUAAUCUAGUCAUCCAAAAUCUUCAUUUUUUGUGUUCUACAAUACUUGUAAACAUUCGACAACCUGCAGAUUAUGUUCUACAACAUAAACAUUGUAAUCAAAAGAUAGAACAGUUACUUUUAUAAAUCGUACGACAUUAUGUUCUGCAAUAUAACUUAUAAGCAGAACAACAAUCUUAAUGCUUGUUAAAGUUGAAAGAUAUUAAUGAUUAAUUGACAAUUAUGUUUAAUACUACAUAUAAAUGAUAAAUUAUAUAUAAAUCUGGAUAAUAAGAGUAAUUAUUUAUGAUUAAACUAAAAAAUUAUGAUUUGUACUCCAAUUUUCCAAUGUUUUUAAGUACUCCAUAUAACUUAACUCAACAUUUUUAAUAUAUAAUAAACUUUAUUUAUUAAUAAAACAUUUUUUAUUUUAAUAAUUUGAAUUUUUUUAAUUUAUAAAUUUAAAAUUAUCAAACACUCAAUUGACUUAUAAGUAAAAGUUAUCCACACAUUUUAAGAACUUUUAAGUAAGGUCAUUUAUCAUUUAUAAUCCACUUCUUUACUUUUAGCAAUUAGAAAUAAGUUAUUUUUUCUAAGUUAAGUCAAACGACCCCUUAGUCUCAAAAGCAUUCCAUAUACCAAAAUUUUUAUAAUUAGUAAAAGAAUAUCCAAAAUAUCAUUUAUUGUUUAAGACCUCGUAUUUGUGAAAGACUGUCCAAAAUAUUAUUAUUUAUUAAAGUCGGAUAAUCAAGCGUUUUGAAUUUUAGGAAGCGUAUUCAACCGAGAUUUUAUCAUAUUGUUUUUUAUUUGUGAAUUUAAAUGAAUUAUAUAUAUAUAUAUAUAUAAUUUUUAGGGAAAUCUACAAAACUACCUACCUUUUCUUUUAUUGUUUUCAAAAAUACUACCUUCCAGAAUUUUUUUUAAAAAUACCUUUUCAUAAAAUCUUUUUUUCAAAAAUACUGUUUGCAACUUUUGCAACCUCAUCUGCAACUCCAGGCGGCGCCAGCCGUGUUGCAACCUCUUUUGCAACUUCAUAUGCAACCGAAUUAUAUAUAUAUAUAUAUAUAUAUAUAGACAAAAGUUAUAUGGAGUCUUAUAAAUUUUGGAGUCCUUGGAGUCCCAAUCUGGGCCCUCCAUCUUGUGUAACAUCCAAUGGCUGUUAUGUUUUUUGGAUUAAUCUUUUCUUUUUAGUUUUUUAUUUUUUUAAAAACCAACCGUGCAUUUUUUGAACAGGCGUGCGUAUGUUAUCCGGCAGUUGCAACUGCCUCAGAGUGUUUCCAGGAGAUGUAGAGAGAAGUGUCCUGCACCUACGAAAUAAUUUUUUUUUUCAUUUUUUCAUUUUUUGUUCUUUCAUACGCGGGAGGCAAUAUCUUUAAUAUCGAGAUCAAUCUGUGUAAAGUGUAUAAUAAGAAGGCCCAAUCAAAUAAGUUUUGUAGUUUUUUUAAUGCAUCUUGUGUUCAUUUUAGGUCCUGUAUUGCAAGGUCUAUUGUGCAUACGAUUUCUGUGCAGGACAUGUUUAUGGUUAAUGUAUUUGUCUUGCGUAUCAUCAUUACAAAGUAAUGGUUGUCUUUUCAUUCUGCACAUGUUCUUGGUUACCAGAGCUGUCAAAACCCUCUCGAGGAGUCACAAAAUCAUCAUCCUCUUCGUCAGGAACGCUCGCACGCAUCUUAUCUACAUCCAUCCUUUCAUUACAUAUGUCCAAUCUAGGCACUGGUGUCGACACCUCUCCUUGAGAUUUGUCAAACACGCUUCCACUUACGUUUUUUCUCAGCAAAGUACCGUCUGACACAAUUCUUGCAGGCAUGCAAUUAUAGCCGUCAUCAUCAAUGGUUAUGUAUCCUGGUUUCUUCUUAGUCCAAUUGUAUACCCACGGGCUUUCGAUUAGUCUACUGCUUCUCCUUCGACCUAAGCACACGAGGAAUAAUAGCUUAUUAAGCACACGAGGAAUAAUAGAUUAUUAUACAAUUAAGAUACUAGAAUAUUACACACGAUGCAAAACAACUAAUUAUACAAUGUUCAGGACACUUAAAAAAAUCCAAACUCCGAUUAAAGAUUCCAAGAUACUGGUCUGUUAGAAACUGGAAGGACACGUUAAAAACAAGAAUCACUGAUAGCCCAAAAACACAACAAAUGCCUAAUCACUUAUUAUGCAACAUCAAGAUGAAAUUAGUAAUUAACAGAGUGCAAAACUAAACCAAAAAAAAUGUAUAUACUACAAUAGCAGUAGCAAUGUUCGUUCACAUAUGACGCAAAUGCAGGAUCAAAAUGAAUACAGAGUGCAGGACUCAUCAACAAAUAUUCUAUAAUAUUACCAAAUUCUUAAUCUAGAAUAUUAAAAGCAUAGGGAAACAUUGGCAAGCGUUAAUUUAGCUACUCUACUUGAUUUUAGUGUUAUUUACUGUUCACCUUGUCUUACUAAAGAAACACUCUGUAAAAGGACAAAAGAAAUCCUUUCAUGGACUUCCAAAAAAAAGAGUUUAAAAUCAAGAAAUGUAGACUCUCUCACAAUGCACUCUAUUAAGGUAUCCUGUAAACAUCUGGUCCAAGAUUUUGGUUCAACUUCAUAUGAGUACAUUAACAUAAAGCACCAAAACACAUAUGCCGUCCCUUGCACACUGCUUUCUGUUCACUACACUUUGCAGGACCUAACAAUUAAUUAUCUUCAAACAAGAAAAUUAAGCAGAUGCAGGACACAUAAAAAGGUCACAAACCACAAACUCCUUCUGAUUAGAACAGGAGAAUCAACGUUCAUGGCUGAAAUACCUUUAAUGUUGUCAUGCUAUAGGUCUUCAAGUCUUAAGGAACUGAUUGAAGCAUCGAAAAGACAACAGUACAUUGUGAUUCUAGGAAGAAGAGGGGGAAACUGGACAGAUAACACCAGGGUGAAAGGGGGAAAUGAUAAGGUGUAAUCUCAUCAUUUAGGAUUUAUCUGUUGUACUCAACAACUUUUCAUUUAAGAACUGGUUAUUUAGCGAUUAAGGAAUGGUCAAAUAUUAUUCUAGUACAUUGCCAAAAAACAGGUUAUAAGAUACUCUUUAAAAACAUCCUGGAUACAAAAUUUCUACGUACCUUUUCAUGUUUCAAAAGACAAAAAAAAUUGCAAAUCAAAUUACAAGGGACAACCUUAUCCAAUCUGUAGUUUUUCAUGUUUUCAGCUGUCUCUCGAUCAUUUACAAACUCUGAUAAGUUACUCCUAUUACUAACAUAGCCCCAACCAAAAAAAUCCAAAGAAAUGCAAGACAACCCAGUCAAUUGGGAACCCAUACAAUCACAUAUUAUGCAACUGCAAGAUAAAAAUAACAACCAAAUGCAGGACACCUAACAACUAAUUAUCUUCAAAUAAGAAAAUUAAAAAGAUGCAGGACACAUAACUACAGGAUCAAUCGCACAACUAAACCACAAAAUGCAUUUACAAUGUCAAGAAUGUACUGCACACCAAAAGCCCCAAAUUCAAUCGAAUCAGUUAUUGCACACAACUGGUGUAAUAUGCCGAGUUUGAACACACACAAAUUACGAUUUCUAAAAAAGCCCCUAAAAAACACGGAGAGCCAACAAUUCAAUGGGGCUACCGGCAAAUGGAGGAGAACCCAUUCAUUCGGGAUGCCGUAUUUCAUAGAAUCAGUGUUUUCAGCGGCAAGAACAACGACAUGCAAAGCAAUUGAAGGACAUAAUGAGAAGAUAGUGGCAUACCUGAACUCAUCUUCGAAAGAAAUUGAAGCGUCCUGCAAAAGCCCUAACUGGUGGUUGUGCUUAGUGUAUACGGUUCUGCAGCUUGGUUAUACACAGCGAAAAUCGGGGAUUAGGUGGUAACGGCCGUGCUAGUGUUAACCACCGGAGGAUGCAGGAUAGAAACUCUGAAGAAACGUGUGCGAAAGUGAAGUUGAAAAAUGGUUUAAAAUUGUCAGCGGUUUAUUUGAUCAUUAAAUCAGAGCCACAGGAUCUUUUUAAAAUCCAACGGUGGAUCUUAGGGACUCCAAAUAAUAUAUAUAUAUAUAUAUAUAUAUAUAUAUAUAUAUAUAUAGCAUACGGUUGUAUUCAGUUGCAUAUGGUUGUAUUCAGUUGAUUAUAUUGUAAUCUAAUGGCCCCGCCAGGGGCACACCAUACAUCUGUUGUUACUUACAGUUUUCAGUUGCAUUUAGUUGCAACUGAGGUUGCAAAUGAAGUUGCAAAAGUUGCAACUGCAGUUGCAACUUCAUUUGCAACCUCAUUUGCAACUUUUGCAACCUCAUUUGCAACUUUUGCAACUUACAGUUUUCAGUUGAACUAGUUGCAAUUGCAGUUGCAACUGUUGCAACUUUCCAUUUUUAUUUGCAACUUUUGCAACCUCAUUUGCAACUUUUGCAACCUCAUUUCCAUUUUUAUUUGCAACUUUUGCAACCUCAUUUGCAACUUUUACGGCUGCGCCGCCCAAGGUUGCAAAUGAGGUUGCAAAGGUUGCAAAUCGUAUUUUUGAAAAAAAAAUUUUAUGAAAAGGUAUUUUUAAAAACAAUGAAAAAGAUGGUAGUAUUUUUAAAAAAAUAAUUUUACAGAUGGGUAUUUUUAAAAAGAUCCCUAAUUUAUAUAUAUAUAUAUAUAUAGACUUUGUGCGGAUUUUUGAUAAAGUAUUAUAGGGUUGAUAUAAAUUUCUUAGAAUUUAAACAUAAUGUUUCAAAAAUCUAAAAAUCUCAUGAAUUUUGGUGGGAUUUCAAAAAACUGAAAAUACACUGAACAGUCUCACAAAAUCCAUCAUUUUACAAAGUCCAAAAAAACCUAUCAUAAUUUGAAUACUAACAUAUUUUAAUUGAUUUUAAACAAUUACAAUUGAGUACUAUCAGAUUUUCAAUAUAGUUUAAGAUCCUCGUUGAAUACGGCCAGAUUUUAUAGCCUAACUUAAAAUCCCAGUUCAUUUUUUAAUAUUAUUUAAUAUGAUAAUUAUAUGAUACUUUUUGUAAUAUUAUUAUUUACAUAUAUAUAUACACAAAAUUAUACAAAUAUACAGAGAAAACACUCAUUUGAUCUAAAAUAAAUAAAAAUAUCUCAACCAUAAGUGUAAUAAGAUAAAAAACAUUAUAUUUAAUUUGAUAAUAUAGGUGUAAUAAAAUAAAAUAUUAUAUACAAUCUCGAGGUUGCGAAAUAGUUAUAACUGACAACGCAUUUAAAAUCCACUUUUUUAUCCUUUAUAAAAACAAAUAUCCCUUCUACAUUUUUCAACUGGGUCAGAGAAAUACUGUAAGAGAGAACUCUACUUUUCUACCUAUAUUUUAAAAUAUUUUAAUGUAUAUUCAUAAAUUUUAAUCUUCAACUUUUUUAGAUAAUAUAUUAAUUUAAUAUUUCAAAAAAAAUAUUGAGAUUUUAACAUAUUUUGCCUACCGGACCAAACAAUACUUUAAAUAUCUCUAAUUUAUUAGAAACUCCUUUAAUAAUUUUUACAAAAUAAUUUAAGAACUUUUUAAUAAAUAAGAUAUAAAUAAUUAAAAAAAUUUAUAUUUUCAUUAUUUAGUAGUAAGUAUUUAUUUAUGAAAAUAAAUUUAGCUGAGGAACAUAUUUUUUUCCUCUUUUCCUUAACCUAAACUCUAAUAAAACUCCUUAAGAUCCUAGCCCAAACCCAUGUAAGUUAUGAAUUAAACAAUUAAACCUUAACCUAAGCUUAUGUAAGCUAUCAAUUAAACAAUUAAAUACCCUCUAAUAAAACUCUUUAUUAUUCUAACCCAAGCCCAUAUAAGUUAUUAAUUAAAAUGCUCUAAUAAAAUUCUUUAAAAUCCUAACCCAAGCCCAUGUAAGCUAUGAAUUAAACUAUUAAACGCGCUCUACCUGCUCGUUAAAAUCAUAGCCCAAGCCCAUGUAAGUUACUAAUAAAACUCUUCGAAACCCUAGCCCAAGCCAAUGUAACUUAUGAAUUAAACAAUUACAUGCCGGUUAAAACCCUAGCCCAAGCCCAUAUAAGUUACUAAUAAAACUCCUCGAAACCCUAGCCCAUGUAACUUAUGAAUUAAACAAUACAUUUCAAUUCAAACUCGUGAUAUUUACGCCGUUUUCUCAAAUUCCUGCGGCGGCUACUAUUCUGUAUAGCAAAACCUUUUUCUUGAUUAAAAUUCAACCCAUGACGAAGAAGCAAGUGAAGUACUGUGUGGUAAUCUCAUUCUGUUAUUUAUAUAUGCAUCAUUUUGUUUUUAACACACACAGAGUGAUGAUUUGCUAAAAAGAUUGAAUUUUUCAGGUGGAUGCAUUCACAGAAUCAGCGUUCAAGGGAAACCCAACUGCAGUUCAAUUGGUGGCCACUGAGUUCAAUCUCUCUGAAAUACAUGUUUCUUGACUAGGAUUGACUUGGAUUCGGCUAAUCCCAGGUUUCACUCCUGUUGCUGAGGUUCACUUGCUUUUGAUUCUACUUAUUUUUUGGGUUUUUAUGGUUCCCCCGGUGUUCAAUUUUGGACAUGUGUAUUGGGUUUGUGUAAAGAUUUGAUCUUUUUGGUGGUAGUGGUCUUGAAUUGAAUUUGUUUAUUGGUCUUGUGUAGUGGGUUUGUGUAAAGAUUUGAUCUUUUUGGUGUAGCAGUCUUGAAUUUGAUUGGGGCAAAACAAAGUUGAUUUGGACAUUCAACGGGACGUAAUAACGAAUAUGUCUGAUAUGCAUAUUAAACCCCUUUGUUGCCAAGGUUCAGUUACUAUUGAGUCUUGUUCAUUGUUUUAGUUUUUCUGAUGCACACACUGGUUUCAUAUUUGAUCCAUUUGGAGCUUGUUCAUUAAUCUCGCUAUUCUACUUUGUGACGUAGUAUUUUGUGAAUUCAGGCAUCAACUAGAGGUGGCAUCAUAAAAUUACAUCUAGAUGAGAGGAAUCAAGGGUAAUGCUCCAAAGGAAAGUUGUUAUUGUGAUGGAAGGUUCUCUCCUAGUUUAAAUAUGGAGGUAUUCCUAGAAACUUGAGAUCAUUAUAUUGUAUCUGUAGCAAUUUACUUAACAAGUUUUUUACCAUUUGCUACAGAUAUUUUUGAUGAACACUACUUUCUUAAAUGUGUUGUUGAUAUGCAUUUCGUGCUAAUGAUUAUUGAUAAGUAGUACUUUUAUAGUUCUCUUCGAUAGAUUGCUUGCAAUUAUCUAGUUGAUUAAUUAAUGCAGCUGUGUUCACUCUUCCGAGUCACUCGAACUAAAAUGAGUUGGUAAAGUGAGUAUUUAUGAGUCAUUUUAUUCAACAUGUUCAAUAUAUCUAUUGUGAAGUAUUAUGCAAAGUAUGGAAAUUCGUAAAUAAUAUUGGCAAAAUUGUGCCAAUAUUAUUUAGAGCACUUAACUUCACUUACGACCGAAAG